This 802-nucleotide small RNA is filed under the name Pongo abelii (Sumatran orangutan). RNAcentral describes it as "processed transcript". The record is from RNAcentral. Lineage: Eukaryota; Metazoa; Chordata; Mammalia; Primates; Hominidae.
GUUUGGCAGGAUUGAUGAUGGAGAGGCAGGCAGUGACCAGACCAAGGGACGCCUUGGAUGGUGGAGAAUAGGUGACCCUCUGUUGGGUGAAAUAGGACUCAAGCCCUCACACAGUGGCCCGAGGCAGCCGGGAUGACAGCUCUCCCCAGGAAUCCUGCUGCCUGCUGAGAAACAUGGUCAGCAAGUCCCGCUGGAAGCUCCUGGCCAUGUUGGCUCUGGUGCUGGUCGUCAUGGUGUGGUAUUCCAUCUCCCGGGAAGACAGGUACAUCGAGCUUUUUUAUUUUCCCAUCCCGGAGAAGAAGGAGCCGUGCCUCCAGGGUGAGGCAGAGAGCAAGGCCUCUAAGCUCUUUGGCAACUACUCCCGGGAUCAGCCCAUCUUCCUGCGGCUUGAGGAUUAUUUCUGGGUCAAGACGCCAUCUGCUUACGAGCUGCCCUAUGGGACCAAGGGGAGUGAGGAUCUGCUCCUCCGGGUGCUAGCCAUCACCAGCUCCUCCAUCCCCAAGAACAUCCAGAGCCUCAGGUGCCGCCGCUGUGUGGUCGUGGGGAACGGGCACCGGCUGCGGAACAGCUCGCUGGGAGAUGCCAUCAACAAGUACGAUGUGGUCAUCAGAUUGAACAAUGCCCCAGUGGCUGGCUAUGAGGGUGACGUGGGCUCCAAGACCACCAUGCGUCUCUUCUACCCUGAAUCUGCCCACUUCGACCCCAAAGUAGAAAACAACCCAGACACACUCCUCGUCCUGGUAGCUUUCAAGGCAAUGGACUUCCACUGGAUUGAGACCAUCCUGAGUGAUAAGAAGCGGGU